RNAcentral lists this ribosomal RNA (447 nucleotides) under uncultured bacterium. Its description in RNAcentral is "SSU rRNA". It matches the Rfam family "Bacterial small subunit ribosomal RNA", at positions 26 to 518 of the family's 1533-position model. The record is from RNAcentral.
AGAACGAACGCUGGCGGCAGGCCUCAAACAUGCAAGUCUAGGGGGUGCAGCAAUGCAUCACCGGCGGACGGGUGCGUAACACGUGGGAAUAUACCUUUUGGUUCGGAACAACGCAGGGAAACUUGCGCUAAUACCGAAUGUGUCCUUACGGAGAAAGAUUUAUCGCCAAAGGAUUAGCCCGCGUCCGAUUAGCUAGUUGGUGAGGUAAUGGCUCACCAAGGCUCCGAUCGGUAGCUGUUCUGAGAGGAAGAUCAGCCACACUGGGACUGAGACACGGCCCAGACUCCUACGGGAGGCAGCAGUUGGGAAUCUUGGACAAUGGGGGAAACCCUGAUCCAGCCAUGCCGCGUGAGUGAUGAAGGCCUUCGGGUUGUAAAACUCUUUCGACGGGGACGAUAUGACGGUACCCGUAGAAGAAGCUCCGGCUAACUUCGUGCCAGCAGCCGC